UGGGGAAUAUUGCACAAUGGGCGCAAGCCUGAUGCAGCCAUGCCGCGUGUAUGAAGAAGGCCUUCGGGUUGUAAAGUACUUUCAGCGGGGAGGAAGGCGAUAAGGUUAAUAACCUUGUCGAUUGACGUUACCCGCAGAAGAAGCACCGGCUAACUCCGUGCCAGCAGCCGCGGUAAUACGGAGGGUGCAAGCGUUAAUCGGAAUUACUGGGCGUAAAGCGCACGCAGGCGGUCUGUCAAGUCGGAUGUGAAAUCCCCGGGCUCAACCUGGGAACUGCAUUCGAAACUGGCAGGCUAGAGUCUUGUAGAGGGGGGUAGAAUUCCAGGUGUAGCGGUGAAAUGCGUAGAGAUCUGGAGGAAUACCGGUGGCGAAGGCGGCCCCCUAGACAAAGACUGACGCUCAGGUGCGAAAGCGUGGGGAGCAAACA
This 427-nucleotide ribosomal RNA is filed under the name uncultured bacterium. Its description in RNAcentral is "partial 16S ribosomal RNA". It matches the Rfam family "Bacterial small subunit ribosomal RNA", at positions 355 to 774 of the family's 1533-position model. The record is from RNAcentral.